UAGGGUUGUGUUAGGAUUGUUAGU
RNAcentral lists this non-coding RNA (24 nucleotides) under Arabidopsis thaliana (thale cress). Lineage: Eukaryota; Viridiplantae; Streptophyta; Magnoliopsida; Brassicales; Brassicaceae. The record is from RNAcentral.